Molecule: ribosomal RNA, 894 nt
Filed under: uncultured archaeon
Lineage: Archaea
Description: bacterial SSU rRNA
Rfam family: Archaeal small subunit ribosomal RNA
Source: RNAcentral
CCCGACUGCUAUUUGGGUGAGGAUAAACCAUGCGAGUUGUAUGGGAUACCUAAAUUUCCCAUAGCAAACUGCUUAGCAACACAUGAUCAACUUGCCCUAUGGAGAAAUAUAACCUCGGGAAACUGAGGAUAAUGCUUCAUAGUUGAAUAGGCUUGGAAAAUUUUUCAAUGAAAGGGAUAAGAAAAAUGGUUCUUAUCUGCCAUAGGAUAGGAUCGUGCUCGAUUAUGGUUGUUGGUGAGGUAACGGCUCACCAAGCCGAUAAUCGAUAGGGGCCGUGAGAGCGGGAGCCCCAAGAUGGGUACUGAGACAGCGACCCAGGCCUUACGAGGCGCAGCAGGUACGAAACCUCCGCAAUACACGAAAGUKUGACGGGGUUACCCAAAGUGUUCUUAUAGAACUGUGGCAGGUGAGUAAUGUCACCUGCUAGAAAGGAGAGGGCAAGGCUGGUGCCAGCCGCCGCGGUAAAACCAGCUCUUCAAGUGGUCGGGAUAAUAUUGGGCUUAAAGUGUCCGUAGCCGGUUUAGUAAGUUCCUGGUAAAAUCAGGUAGCUUAACUAUCUGCAUGCUAGGAAUACUGCUAUACUAGAGGGCGGGAGAGGUCUGAGGUACUACAGGGGUAGGGGUGAAAUCUUAUAAUCCUUGUAGGACCACCAGUGGCGAAGGCGUCAGACUGGAACGCGCCUGACGGUGAGGGACGAAAGCCAGGGGAGCGAACCGGAUUAGAUACCCGGGUAGUCCUGGCCGUAAACGAUGCAUACUAGGUGAUGGCACGGCCAUGAGCCGAGUCAGUGCCGUAGGGAAACCGUUAAGUGUGCCGCCUGGGAAGUACGGUCGCAAGGCUAAAACUUAAAGGAAUUGGCGGGGGAGCACCACAAGGGGUGAAGCCUGCGGUUCA